RNAcentral lists this ribosomal RNA (438 nucleotides) under uncultured bacterium. RNAcentral describes it as "partial 16S ribosomal RNA". It matches the Rfam family "Bacterial small subunit ribosomal RNA", at positions 339 to 795 of the family's 1533-position model. The record is from RNAcentral.
CUACGGGAUGCAGCAGUGAGGAAUAUUGCACAAUGGGGGGAACCCUGAUGCAGCAACGCCGCGUGGAGGAUGACGCAUUUCGGUGUGUAAACUCCUUUUAUAUGUCAAGAAAAUGACGGUAGCAUAUGAAUAAGCACCGGCUAACUCCGUGCCAGCAGCCGCGGUAAUACGGAGGGUGCAAGCGUUACUCGGAAUCACUGGGCGUAAAGGACGCGUAGGCGGGUUGGAAAGUCAGGUGUGAAAUCCUACAGCUUAACUGUAGAACUGCACUUGAAACUUCUAAUCUAGAGUAUGGGAGGGGAGAUGGAAUUAGUGGUGUAGGGGUAAAAUCCGUAGAUAUCACUAGGAAUAUCUAAAGCGAAGGCGAUCUCCUGGAACAUUACUGACGCUAAGGCGUGAAAGCGUGGGGAGCAAACAGGAUUAGAUACCCGCGUAGUC